This 412-nucleotide ribosomal RNA is filed under the name Microbacterium sp. at5. RNAcentral describes it as "bacterial SSU rRNA". It matches the Rfam family "Bacterial small subunit ribosomal RNA", at positions 56 to 482 of the family's 1533-position model. The record is from RNAcentral. Lineage: Bacteria; Bacillati; Actinomycetota; Actinomycetes; Micrococcales; Microbacteriaceae.
UGCAGUCGAACGGUGAAGCCCAGCUUGCUGGGUGGAUCAGUGGCGAACGGGUGAGUAACACGUGAGCAACCUGCCCCUGACUCUGGGAUAAGCGCUGGAAACGGCGUCUAAUACUGGAUAUGUGACGUGACCGCAUGGUCUGCGUCUGGAAAGAAUUUCGGUUGGGGAUGGGCUCGCGGCCUAUCAGCUUGUUGGUGAGGUAAUGGCUCACCAAGGCGUCGACGGGUAGCCGGCCUGAGAGGGUGACCGGCCACACUGGGACUGAGACACGGCCCAGACUCCUACGGGAGGCAGCAGUGGGGAAUAUUGCACAAUGGGCGCAAGCCUGAUGCAGCAACGCCGCGUGAGGGAUGACGGCCUUCGGGUUGUAAACCUCUUUUAGCAGGGAAGAAGCGAAAGUGACGGUACCUGC